RNAcentral lists this ribosomal RNA (447 nucleotides) under uncultured organism. RNAcentral's name for it is "partial 16S ribosomal RNA". It matches the Rfam family "Bacterial small subunit ribosomal RNA", at positions 332 to 797 of the family's 1533-position model. The record is from RNAcentral.
UACACUCCUACGGGAGGCAGCAGUGGGGAAUAUUGGACAAUGGGCGCAAGCCUGAUCCAGCCAUGCCGCGUGAGUGAUGAAGGCCCUAGGGUUGUAAAGCUCUUUCACCGGUGAAGAUAAUGACGGUAACCGGAGAAGAAGCCCCGGCUAACUUCGUGCCAGCAGCCGCGGUAUACGAAGGGGGCUAGCGUUGUUCGGAUUUACUGGGCGUAAAGCGCACGUAGGCGGACUAUUAAGUCAGGGGUGAAAUCCCGGGGCUCAACCCCGGAACUGCCUUUGAUACUGGUAGUCUUGAGUUCGAGAGAGGUGAGUGGAAUUCCGAGUGUAGAGGUGAAAUUCGUAGAUAUUCGGAGGAACACCAGUGGCGAAGGCGGCUCACUGGCUCGAUACUGACGCUGAGGUGCGAAAGCGUGGGGAGCAAACAGGAUUAGAAACCCUUGUAGUCCC